This 533-nucleotide ribosomal RNA is filed under the name Idiomacromerus sp. PEJ_1257. RNAcentral's name for it is "LSU rRNA". It matches the Rfam family "Eukaryotic large subunit ribosomal RNA", at positions 674 to 1156 of the family's 3401-position model. Lineage: Eukaryota; Metazoa; Arthropoda; Insecta; Hymenoptera; Torymidae. The record is from RNAcentral.
UCUAACAUGUGCGCGAGUCAUUGGGAUUUUUUUAAACCUAAAGGCGCAAUGAAAGUGAAGGUCGUCCUUAGCGUCGACCGAGGGAGGAUGGCUCGCGUCACGAUGCGAGCCCGCACUCCCGGGGCGUCUCGUGCUCAUUGCGAGCAGAGGCGCACCCAGAGCGUACACGUUGGGACCCGAAAGAUGGUGAACUAUGCCUGGUCAGGACGAAGUCAGGGGAAACCCUGAUGGAGGUCCGUAGCGAUUCUGACGUGCAAAUCGAUCGUCGGAACUGGGUAUAGGGGCGAAAGACUAAUCGAACCAUCUAGUAGCUGGUUCCCUCCGAAGUUUCCCUCAGGAUAGCUGGCACUCGCUUGAGCGAGUCUCAUCUGGUAAAGCGAAUGAUUAGAGGCCUUGGGGCCGAAACGACCUCAACCUAUUCUCAAACUUUAAAUGGGUGAGAUCUCUGGCUUGCUUGAACGUUGAAGCCACGAGAGCAUAUUGCAAUGGAUCAGAGUGCCAAGUGGGCCAAUUUUGGUAAGCAAAACUGGCGA